GAUGAAGAACUCAGCGAAAUGCGAUAAGUAAUGUGAAUUGCAGAAUUCAGUGAAUCAUCGAAUCUUUGAACGCACAUUGCGCCCGUCAGUAUUCUGGCGGGCAUGCCUGUUCGAGCGUCAUUACGCCCCUCAAGUCCCCUGUGGACUUGGUGUUGGGGAUCGGCGAGGCUGGUUUUCCAGCACAGCCGUCCCUUAAAUUAAUUGGCGGUCUCGCCGUGGCCCUCCUCUGCGCAGUAGUAAAACACUCGCAACAGGAGCCCGGCGCGGUCCACUGCCGUAAAACCCCCCAACUUUUUAUAGUUGACCUCGAAUCAGGUAGGACUACCCGCUGAACUUAAGCAUAUCAAUAAGCGGAGGA
RNAcentral lists this unclassified non-coding RNA (358 nucleotides) under soil metagenome. RNAcentral describes it as "partial contains 5.8S ribosomal RNA, internal transcribed spacer 2, and large subunit ribosomal RNA". The stretch from base 1 to 120 matches the Rfam family "5.8S ribosomal RNA", at positions 35 to 154 of the family's 154-position model. The record is from RNAcentral.